AAUUAUAUCCUCAGCAUCUUCGUACAGUACUGUGUGCAGAGUGGGAGUCAGUGUUUGUCCACUGAGUGCAAGUUCUUGUAACUUAAUUGCGACAGGAUAUGGAAUUUCCAAACAAUUAGAGGGAAGUUUUAAGUCUUAACUUUAGGUCAUGAAAUUCAGCUAACAGAUAUAUCAAUCCAAAUGAUGGACUGGUCAUGACUGCUAAUAGAAGGAAUUUCUCCUUGUUAUUAAAACAACUACACCAGAGGCAAGCUAGCCUGCCACUUAGACAAAUCACACUCUAAGUUUUAAAGUCUAAUUUCAGUUUUUCUCUUACAAGAAAGUCUUUUAGAAAAUUCUUUUUACAUUACCUAAAGGCACACCGUGCAUUACAAAAACUAAUAAUGCAUUCAUAAAAGCAUUCAAAAGAAAAUUACAGCUGUAGCUCCUUUCUUAUCUUCCCACCCUUAGAAAUGACUCUACUCUCUUACACUGCUUUCAAAAAACACUCAGAUAUAAUUAAAAGCAGAAUUGAUGCUCUUUGUACAUUGAAGUGAUUCAGUGUAUGUACCUUCAAAUUGAUUUUAGGUUCCAAUCACACACAAAACAAUUAGUCCAUGUUUUUCCAUUUGGUCCAUGCCUAAGCAAUAAAAAGCAAAUUACGGCUAUAUUCUCCCAAGCUGCCAUGAUGAUGAAUGGGGUAAUAACCAUACUGUUUCCAUGUCAUGGGAACUCAUGAUAAUAAGAAUGAGCAUUAAGUAUUUAUGGCAAAGAUAUAUUAUGAGCUAAGGUCCAAUAUACCUACAGAUACUUAAUAACUAAAGGAAAAGUCUACAUAAAUACAAUCUUAGACAUGUAACAACCAACGCCACUACCCAAGCAGCUUGCUCUCAAAUUUCUACCAAUGUGACAAUUAUUAUGUACCCAUAAUAAUUAAAAAACAAUUUAAAGAGGCAAAUCUAAGUUUCUAACAAUGUACUAUCAUCUAAAUGACCAUUUCUAUAAUAGACCUCUGUUCUAAAGACAAGGGUACCCAUAUUGACACAGGUGUUUUGUUAACUAUAAAGCAAGCAUUAUUCAAAUGUAAAGGCUUGGUUAAUAACUGGUUGUUAUCACACCAGCUUUGUAUGUUAGCAUUUUAUUCAUUCAACCAACAUCAUGAACUUUGGUUUCCUCACCUGCAAAAUGCAAAUACCUAUCUUCACUGAGUUGUUAUGAAGAUUUCAUUAUUAAUGGACAUGCAAUAAACAGCAAGUUCCUUUGAUGGCUAAGCACUGCACCGGGCCCUGGAGGCAUUAAGAAUGUAAAGAGAUCCUGUUCUCAAGAAACUCAGAAUCCCUAGGAGCACC
Molecule: long non-coding RNA, 1328 nt
Filed under: Homo sapiens (human)
Lineage: Eukaryota; Metazoa; Chordata; Mammalia; Primates; Hominidae
Description: HSALNT0028809
Source: RNAcentral